UGAUUAUAUUUCUUCCCUACCUCCUAAAUACCAUUAUAGUUAUAUUGAAUUAUACCUUUCCCUUUGUCUUGCAGGGAGUCAUAACUCUGCAUUUAAAAUCUCAAAAAUGCUUCUCUACCUGGAGUCUUUAAAGAGAAAUGUGACAAUUUAUGUUUCCAUUUGCAGCUAGCAUAAGCAAUUUAGUUAGAGAAUGGUGCAGUGUUGUUAUGGGCUGUUUCCGUUUCGGGUUGUAGUCACUGUGAUGAAAUGCAGAGGUAGUCUUGACCACUCAAGUCGCUUUCAUAGACUCCCGUAAAGAAGCAACCACUCAUUCAGUUAAAAGCAGUCAACCUUUGAAGCCCAGAGAACAGAAGAAUUAAUGCUGUGAGAAGACUUAGCAAACCGUUCUGUGCUUGGAUUGUGGAAGUCGUUGGUGGGCAGGGGUGAUGACCCGGCAGCCCAAUGAGGGCUUGAAGAUUUGGGUGUUGACAUUUGCAGUGAUUGGUGCAAAAGCAGUGCUGAGAGGAACUGCUGGAAGCCAAGCACAAAUCAGACAGAGGCUGCAGAGUGUACGUGGAGAUGCCAUAGCCCUUGAUGCCCAGCACUUGCAGGGAGCAGGUCCUGAGAGUGCCUUCUGGGGACCUGGGAGGGCUUUGAUGGUUUGCUUGAGG
Long non-coding RNA from Ochotona princeps (American pika), 650 nucleotides. RefSeq lists it as uncharacterized. NCBI's taxonomy places the organism in Eukaryota, Metazoa, Chordata, Mammalia, Lagomorpha, Ochotonidae. The transcript has 3 exons. The record is from RefSeq and is a predicted model, not a curated record.